Cinara cedri is the source of this 233-nucleotide non-coding RNA. Lineage: Eukaryota; Metazoa; Arthropoda; Insecta; Hemiptera; Aphididae. The record is from the annotation of a GenBank genome assembly.
GUUCAUAUACAUCAUACCAGACCAUUUCGCGGUAAUACAUUAAACAUUUAUACUGUAACUGCGAUAAUGUAUCAACACAAUUAAACCAAUCAAAACUUGAUUACACUUGCUUUUUGUUGAUUGGUUCUCUUAUUAGUCAUUAUUCAUUUGUAAAGACCGGAUUUAAUUGAUAUUGCAACUUUUUUUGCAAUAAAGAUAAAUCAGAGCUGAUUAAAUAUGUAGCCGAUAUAAAC